ACAUUGGCCUUCAGGACGUCGAAAUCUGGGUCCGGGCGGCAACUGUGGCUCCGGCCACUGCCCGGCAUCCGCCGCCGCCUACAGGGCCAUCUUCCGCGACGGGAACGUCUGCUUCGACUAAUGGAUCUUCAGUGGGGACAUGCACAGAUGCAAACAAGGAAUAUUCAUAAGAAAGAAGAAUCAAACAUUUUUGUGCAGGAAAUAUGCCAACUUACUUUUAUUGUGAUAGUUGACUGGUAUGAACCUCACUGUUAAUUCAAAGGCCAUAAUAAAAAUCUAACGUUUAAGGUGGAGCAGACUGAAGAUUUGAACCUUCGACAGAUAUUAGGUUCAAAAUUUUCUUUAUCAAAAACCCUUUGUGGUCAGUUGACUGAAUCCCGAUGACCCGACAACACUUAUUAGCUUGUAGGGUCAACAUGUAUGUUUGUGCUGUCUUUUUUCAGGCACACUGGUGUUCAGACCUAACUAUCAAAACAAUGCAAUGGCAGGUGAUAAAAACAAGAAGGUUUUUAAGGAGACGCGUGGGAAGAACUCCAAAGAUCUCAAUGAAUUUUAUUGCCUACUGCAUGAUAUCUCGGCAAAACUGGAAUGUGCAAACCAAAUAUCAUGUCAGCUCAAUCGGUAAAGGAACUACGCAGUCAGGUCAGGAAGUUUUGAUGUUAUCUAAAUGAUUCCAUUUUCACCUCUGGCCCCAGGCCCAAAGAUCAAGAAGGACUUCAAUAUUCAUAUAUUAAUCUGUACAUUACAAGUCAGAAGACGAAUUUUCCCUUUCUGUGUAGAUUCCAAAGAUAAAUGUAUGAUGGCAUUGGUGACAAGUUGAAUGGAAGGAGGACAAUGUUGUUGCUGCUUGAUAGUCUACAUCACAUCUCUGUACCUUUAGUAUUCUCGUACGAAGGAGCGAUGUUAUAAACAUAAUAUCGAUGUAUACCACGUGGAUGGUGUUCCCCUUUUAAU
Molecule: long non-coding RNA, 954 nt
Organism: Lolium rigidum
Lineage: Eukaryota; Viridiplantae; Streptophyta; Magnoliopsida; Poales; Poaceae
Exons: 4
Source: RefSeq, a predicted model, not a curated record